GACUUCGGGAAAAUCAUCAGGAAAGCAAUGGAGAUUUCCCACCUGAAUUAGCUUGUGUUAACUAGCUAAUCUUUUUAGAAUAGUAGCUUCUGCCCAUAAUUUAAAGAAACGAUGUAGAAACCAAUGCAUUAUCUUUUCUUUCUGGGAGAAGAGCUCUUAAAAGCCUGGAAGUGGAAGAUCAUUAGGCCUGGUUGAAGAUGGCUGAGCGUAAAACAGAAUGCAAGUCAGCUGGAGCACGUACUACUGGAGGCAGAGCCCCAUGAGAAGGGGCCAAGAACCCGCACCCAUCAAAAUCAAGAAGAAAGGCUGAACCCGGAGAGAAAAGGGAGCAACUGAUGUUGCCAUGCAGAUCCCUUGGUUGCUAUGAGAUGGUAACAUCACUCUGCCCCACCAUUGGCCAGUGCCUCCUCAGCUGCGGUGCCUCCCAGGCUGUGUGGUUCUCACGCGGGCCACUGACACAGAGCUGUUACUAUGGUGAACUUUACAAUUUCCUUUGAUUGGUGGAUUUCAGAAAUAGGCCAUCAGCGGAAUUCAUUAUAUUCAGCUAAGUAAAAAUGAAAAAUAAAUACUAUAACUUUCCCCUCAUCACUAACAUGAAGGAAACGUGACCCUUCAUGACAUAAUAAAUCGCUGUUCGGUAACUUAGGAUCCUUCAGGGGACUGAAGCGGGAUGAUCCUCCUAUGCCAAAUUUGGGUGGGAAAGAUAUUCCCUGUAGCUUUGAGUCGACUCUUCAGAGUUAAGGGCAGUGGGCCAACCAGAGUUGGAACUUCAGAGUUGGGAGGAGGUGUGGGAUGGGGCAUGCAUUGAAAUGUAAACUCUAUUGUCUCUGAAGUGAUGGGUGAUGCUGGGGGCCUGAGUGUGGAGGGCAGUUUUACAUCUCAGGACAAUGUUUUCUCAGAUGCUCUUCCAGAAAGAAAAGCCAGGAGUACUCCUGGCUGGAGGCGGCAUGCCUGAGGUCAGAGUCAAAGUAGGGUUUGUGCUGUCUGAAUCCUUUCUCCCACUCUCCCCAGCCUGGCUCAGCUUCUCAGCUUCUCAGGUGGAUUGGUGAGUCCUGGCCAAUUACGCUUCAGCUCAUCUCUACUCUCAGCAAAUAGGAAAAGGGAGUGAAGGACUGAGUUUUAACUCUUCUAAUUUCGUAACCUGACUCUCUAUAAGAAAAAGUAGGAGAAAGACUGAAGAACCCGAGAGAACAGGCCUCUGAGCCCAAGCCAAGCCAUCGCAUCCCCUGUGACUUGCCCGUAUAUAUGCCCAGAUGGCCUGAAGUAACUGAAGAAUCACAAAAGAAGUGAAUAUGCCUUGCCCCACCUUGACUGAUGACAUUCCACCACAAAAGAAGUGUAAAUGGCCGGUCCUUGCCUUAACUGAUGACAUUACCUUGUGAAAGUCCUUUUCCUGGCUCAUCCUGGCUCAAAAAGCACCCCCACUGAGCAUCUUGCGACUCCCACUCCUGCCCACUGAGCACCUUGUGACCCCCACUCCUGCCUGCCAGAGAACAAACCCCCUUUGACUGUAAUUUUCCUUUACCUACCCAAAUCCUAUAAAACGGCUCCACCCUUAUCUCCUUUUGCUGACUCUCUUUUCUGACUCAGCCCGCCUGCACCCAGGAGAUUAAAAGCUUUAUUGCUCA
Long non-coding RNA from Homo sapiens (human), 1628 nucleotides. The record is from Ensembl. NCBI's taxonomy places the organism in Eukaryota, Metazoa, Chordata, Mammalia, Primates, Hominidae.